UCCAGGGUAGCCUAGUGAACAUAGCACAUGCUUGGUAAGCGGAACACUAUGGGUUCGAUUCCCAUCCCUGGAU
Molecule: transfer RNA, 73 nt
Filed under: Cordylochernes scorpioides
Lineage: Eukaryota; Metazoa; Arthropoda; Arachnida; Pseudoscorpiones; Chernetidae
Description: tRNA-Thr
Rfam family: tRNA
About the family: Transfer RNA (tRNA) molecules are approximately 80 nucleotides in length. Their secondary structure includes four short double-helical elements and three loops (D, anti-codon, and T loops). Further hydrogen bonds mediate the characteristic L-shaped molecular structure. tRNAs have two regions of fundamental functional importance: the anti-codon, which is responsible for specific mRNA codon recognition, and the 3' end, to which the tRNAs corresponding amino acid is attached (by aminoacyl-tRNA synthetases). tRNAs cope with the degeneracy of the genetic code in two manners: having more than one tRNA (with a specific anti-codon) for a particular amino acid; and 'wobble' base-pairing, i.e. permitting non-standard base-pairing at the 3rd anti-codon position.
Source: RNAcentral